RNAcentral lists this transfer RNA (73 nucleotides) under Ailuropoda melanoleuca (giant panda). It matches the Rfam family "tRNA". Rfam says of the family: Transfer RNA (tRNA) molecules are approximately 80 nucleotides in length. Their secondary structure includes four short double-helical elements and three loops (D, anti-codon, and T loops). The record is from Rfam by way of RNAcentral. Lineage: Eukaryota; Metazoa; Chordata; Mammalia; Carnivora; Ursidae.
GCCCGGCUGGCUCAGUCAGUGGGGCGUGAGACUCUUGAUCCCGGGGUUGUGAGUUCAAGCCCCAUGUCCGGCU